RNAcentral lists this long non-coding RNA (335 nucleotides) under Apteryx rowi (Okarito brown kiwi). Its description in RNAcentral is "lncRNA (ENSARWG00000011284.1)". The record is from RNAcentral. Lineage: Eukaryota; Metazoa; Chordata; Aves; Apterygiformes; Apterygidae.
GCUCCCCCUCGCUCCCCCCUCCCCUCGGGCUCCCCCGGCAGCGGGGAAGCAAGAUGGCGGCGAGCAGGGGGGGCGUUUUGGCUCGGCAGCGGCGGGUGAGGGCAGAGGCCGCCUGGAGUGAAGGACGUGGGGCCCCCGGUGAGGCGAACGCGGCGCCGGUUCGUUGGCAGCGUGGGCCGGGGCGUGCGCUCGCCCCUGCGGAGGCGGCACGGCGGAGCGGGGGGGCAGGCGGGCCCCGGAGCAGGGUUGUGUGGCGGCGUCGGCGGGAGGACGGCUCCUGUGGCAGCAGGCUCGGCCGAGAGUGCUGGGUAGUCCACCGAAGGGGGACAUCUUGA